RNAcentral lists this microRNA precursor (112 nucleotides) under Pelobates cultripes (western spadefoot toad). Lineage: Eukaryota; Metazoa; Chordata; Amphibia; Anura; Pelobatidae. The record is from RNAcentral.
AGUUUAAAAAACCACAACGCGUUUCGCCCUUAGGCUUUAUCAAAUGGAGAUCUCCACUUGAUAAAGCCUAAGGGCGAAACGCGUUGUGGUUUUUUAAACUAUAUUUUUUUAA